This 502-nucleotide ribosomal RNA is filed under the name uncultured bacterium. Its description in RNAcentral is "partial 16S ribosomal RNA". It matches the Rfam family "Bacterial small subunit ribosomal RNA", at positions 29 to 507 of the family's 1533-position model. The record is from RNAcentral.
AGCGAACGCUGGCGGCGUGCCUAACACAUGCAAGUCGAACGUGAAAGGGAGCAAUCCCAAGUAAAGUGGCGUACGGGUGAGUAACACGUAGGUAAUCUACCCCAGAAUCUGGAAUAGCCGGCCGAAAGGCUGGCUAAUACUGGAUAGAGCGACGGAAUCCGUAAUUGGGUUUUUCGGGAAAGGGAGCCUGUAAAAAGGCCUUCGUUCUGGGAUGAGCCUGCGUCCCAUCAGCUAGUUGGUGAGGUAAAAGCUUACCAAGGCAAUGACGGGUAGCUGGUCUGGGAGGACGAUCAGCCCCACUGGAACUGAAACACGGUCCAGACUCCUACGGGAGGCAGCAGUGGGGAAUCUUGCGCAAUGGACGAAAGUCUGACGCAGCAACGCCGCGUGAGUGAAGAAGGCCUUCGGGUUGUAAAGCUCUGUCGAGUGGGACGAAAAUGCUUGGAGUUCACAGCUCCAGGAACUGACGGUACCACUAAAGGAAGCACCGGCUAACUCCGUG